AAAAAAAUCGCGUCGAUUGCACGCAAACCAGCCCUCUCAAUAAUUCAUUUCCGAUCCAAUUUAACUUGGUUUUGGCACGUUCCUGUCGCGUAAACACAUCGGCACGUCGAACCGGUCGAUUUCAGAAAAUUUUCAGCCACAUUUUACGCUGGUUGAGCUUCUCCGAGCAGCUCUUAAGCAAGGGCGGCGUUCUAUUUUAAUCCAUGCUAAAAUAAACCAGAAAUUUAUCAAGAAUCUUUAAUAUCAACACACAAGUCCAAGAUGGAUCCCGGUGCAGAUUGCUCGAUUUCGUGCGCUCUUAACGAAACGAGAUCGGCAUAAGUCUUUUAACGCCGUGCAUUAUGUAUGUACGCACGGGGGCGGCGGAUUUAACUGCCACGGACAGGUGUGAGUGAUGAGGGCAGGAAUUUAUUAAAACCGAAAUGGCCAUCGGCCAGUGCAAUUAAAAUGCGUGUUGGCGCUGUCGAAAUCCGUUCAUUAAAAAAUGGCAGGGCAACGACGGGCCAAGGUUAUAAAUAGCAGAGGAGCGGAAGUUGCGACCGAGGAUGAAAGAUUGGCGAAUUCGCACCAUGCAGAAUACGAAAAUGCUCCUUCUCCAACCCUCCAGGACCAGGACCAACAACCACCAACUAAGGACAAGGACCAAGAUGAAGACCCGAAGACACCAAGUAGCCAUAAUAGAAUGCAAUGUAUAUUUAUUUAAACAAAAAUUUAUUAUAUUAUAUUAUAAUUAAGUCCACCGCUGAAAAGGCCCUAAGCGCCCCCAUUGUAACUGUAGCUUGAAUAAAUGUAUUUUGAUUGAUUCA
Zophobas morio is the source of this 806-nucleotide long non-coding RNA. RefSeq lists it as uncharacterized. NCBI's taxonomy places the organism in Eukaryota, Metazoa, Arthropoda, Insecta, Coleoptera, Tenebrionidae. The transcript is spliced from 2 exons. The record is from RefSeq and is a predicted model, not a curated record.